GAUGAACGCUGGCGGCGUGCCUAAUACAUGCAAGUCGAGCGAACAGACGAGGAGCUUGCUCCUUUGACGUUAGCGGCGGACGGGUGAGUAACACGUAGGUAACCUACCUAUAAGACUGGGAUAACUUCGGGAAACCGGAGCUAAUACCGGAUAAUAUUUCGAACCGCAUGGUUCGAUAGUGAAAGAUGGCUUUGCUAUCACUUAUAGAUGGACCUGCGCCGUAUUAGCUAGUUGGUAAGGUAACGGCUUACCAAGGCAACGAUACGUAGCCGACCUGAGAGGGGGAUCGGCCCAACGGGAACGGAGACCGGGUCCAAACCCCUACGGGAGGCAGCAGUAGGGAAUUUUCCGCAAGGGGCGAAAGCCUGACGGAGCAACGCCGCGGGAGUGAUGAAGGUUUUCGGAUCGUAAAACUCUUUUAUUAGGGAAGAAAAAACGUGUAAGUAACGGUGCACGUCUUGACGGUACCUAAUCAGAAAGCCACGGCUAACUACGU
This 496-nucleotide ribosomal RNA is filed under the name uncultured bacterium. RNAcentral's name for it is "partial 16S ribosomal RNA". It matches the Rfam family "Bacterial small subunit ribosomal RNA", at positions 28 to 506 of the family's 1533-position model. The record is from RNAcentral.